CAUAUCUGGCAUACCUUCUGAAGGUCUGUCACCCUUCUUACUCUUUAUGCUUUCCAUGUAUGUAGGACAGUUCCUCUUCCAAUGGCCGUCUUAUGAUGCAAUGGAAACACUUUUCCUUGCAAUCGGCCUUUUUCUUGGAACUUCCUUACUUGGCCUUUUCUCGGUCUUCUGCCUUUUCACAGGUUUCUUCUUCUUCCAGG
RNAcentral lists this long non-coding RNA (200 nucleotides) under Phoenix dactylifera (date palm). RNAcentral's name for it is "long non-coding RNA (PDAC_LNC020387)". The record is from RNAcentral. Lineage: Eukaryota; Viridiplantae; Streptophyta; Magnoliopsida; Arecales; Arecaceae.